UACGAGGGGUGCAAGCGUUGCCCGGAAUUAUUGGGCGUAAAGGGUUGGUAGGUGGUCUUGUUUGUCUGAGGUGAAAUCCCGGGGCUUAACUCCGGAAGUGCCUUAGAAACGGCAAGACUAGAGUCCUGGAGGGGUUUGUGGAAUUCCCGGUGUAGCGGUGAAAUGCGUAGAGAUCGGGAGGAACACCAGCAGCGAAGGCGGCAAACUGGAUAGGCACUGACACUGAACAACGAAAGCGUGGGUAGCAAACAGG
RNAcentral lists this ribosomal RNA (253 nucleotides) under uncultured bacterium. Its description in RNAcentral is "partial 16S ribosomal RNA". It matches the Rfam family "Bacterial small subunit ribosomal RNA", at positions 524 to 776 of the family's 1533-position model. The record is from RNAcentral.